Molecule: ribosomal RNA, 237 nt
Filed under: Bacillus paralicheniformis
Lineage: Bacteria; Bacillati; Bacillota; Bacilli; Caryophanales; Bacillaceae
Description: partial 23S ribosomal RNA
Rfam family: Bacterial large subunit ribosomal RNA
Source: RNAcentral
ACCGGGAUGGACGCACCGCUGGUGUACCAGUUGUUCUGCCAAGGGCAUCGCUGGGUAGCUAUGUGCGGACGGGAUAAGUGCUGAAAGCAUCUAAGCAUGAAGCCCCCCUCAAGAUGAGAUUUCCCAUUCCGCAAGGAAGUAAGAUCCCUGAAAGAUGAUCAGGUUGAUAGGUCUGAGGUGGAAGUGUGGCGACACAUGGAGCUGACAGAUACUAAUCGAUCGAGGACUUAACCUAAA